GACGAACGCUGGCGGCGUGCUUAACACAUGCAAGUCGAACGAUGAAGCGGUGCUUGCACCGUGGAUUAGUGGCGAACGGGUGAGUAAUACGUGAGUGACCUACCUUUGACUCUGGGAUAAGCCUGGGAAACUGGGUCUAAUACCGGAUACGACCAAUCUCUGCAUGGGGUGUUGGUGGAAAGCGUUAUGGAGUGGUUUUAGAUGGGCUCACGGCCUAUCAGCUUGUUGGUGAGGUAAUGGCUUACCAAGGCGACGACGGGUAGCCGGCCUGAGAGGGUGACCGGCCACACUGGGACUGAGACACGGCCCAGACUCCUACGGGAGGCAGCAGUGGGGAAUAUUGCACAAUGGGCGCAAGCCUGAUGCAGCGACGCCGCGUGAGGGAUGACGGCCUUCGGGUUGUAAACCUCUGUUAGCAUCGAAGAAGCGAAAGUGACGGUAGGUGCAGAGAAAGCGCCGGCUAACUACGUGCCCGCAGCCCCGGUAAUACGUAGGGCGCGAGCGUUGUCCCGAAUUAUUGGGCGUAAAAAACUGUAAGCGGUUGGGUCGCGUCUGCUGUGAAGGCCGGGGCUUAACUCCGGUUUUGCAGUGGGUACGGGCUAACUAGAGUGCAGUAGGGGAGACUGGAAUUCCUGGUGUAGCGGUGGAAUGCACAGAUAUCAGGAGGAACACCGAUGGCGAAGGCAGGUCUCUGGGCUGUAACUGACGCUGAGAAGCGAAAGCAUGGGGAGCGAACAGGAUUAGAUACCCUGGUAGUCCAUGCCGUAAACGUUGGGCACUAGGUGUGGGGGACAUUCCACGUUUUCCGCGCCGUAGCUAACGCAUUAAGUGCCCCGCCUGGGGAGUACGGCCGCAAGGCUAAAACUCAAAGGAAUUGACGGGGGCCCGCACAAGCGGCGGAGCAUGCGGAUUAAUUCGAUGCAACGCGAAGAACCUUACCAAGGCUUGACAUGCAUUAGAUCGCGUCAGAGAUGGCGUUUCCCUUCGGGGCUGGUGUACAGGUGGUGCAUGGUUGUCGUCAGCUCGUGUCGUGAGAUGUUGGGUUAAGUCCCGCAGCGAGCGCAACCCUCGUUCUAUGUUGCCAGCGGUUCGGCCGGGGACUCAUAGGAGACUGCCGGGGUCAACUCGGAGGAAGGUGGGGAUGACGUCAAAUCAUCAUGCCCCUUAUGUCUUGGGCUUCACGCAUGCUACAAUGGCCGGUACAGAGGGUUGCGAUACUGUGAGGUGGAGCUAAUCCCUUAAAGCCGGUCUCAGUUCGGAUUGGGGUCUGCAACUCGACCCCAUGAAGUCGGAGUCGCUAGUAAUCGCAGAUCAGCAACGCUGCGGUGAAUACGUUCCCGGGCCU
RNAcentral lists this ribosomal RNA (1345 nucleotides) under uncultured bacterium. Its description in RNAcentral is "bacterial SSU rRNA". It matches the Rfam family "Bacterial small subunit ribosomal RNA", at positions 28 to 1381 of the family's 1533-position model. The record is from RNAcentral.